RNAcentral lists this long non-coding RNA (370 nucleotides) under Hordeum vulgare. RNAcentral describes it as "long non-coding RNA (HVUL_LNC014109)". The record is from RNAcentral. Lineage: Eukaryota; Viridiplantae; Streptophyta; Magnoliopsida; Poales; Poaceae.
GCUUCUUCUGGCCAUCUUCACAAGUUGGGUACAACAAUUUGUUGUGGUCCUGUAACAUCUGCUCGAACUGCAACCUCUCCUUUUCUGUGUCGCAACCUCGCCGUGCAUCAGAAAUAACCCGGCCAAGAUCAUCAGCGGGCUCAUCUGGUUCCCGUUCUUCAUCCUGAUCUUCUUCUUCAUUGUCUUCCAUUGCGGUAUCAGCAUACUCAGGGAACAUAGAUCGGUAGUUGUCAUCAUCGUUCUCUUCUUCUUCAUCGUCGUCUUUCAUCAUAACCCCUCUUUCUCCAUGCUUGGUCCAAACAUUAUAGCCCGAGAUAAAACCGGACCGAAGCAGGUGGCUCUGAAUGACUCUUGAGGAAGUGUAAUCCUU